CAGCUCACAUGCAGUCGAACGGUAACAGAAGCAAGCUUGCUCUUCGCUGACGAGUGGCGGACGGGUGAGUAAUGUCUGGGAAACUGCCUGAUGGAGGGGGAUAACUACUGGAAACGGUAGCUAAUACCGCAUAACGUCGCAAGACCAAAGAGGGGGACCUUCGGGCCUCUUGCCAUCGGAUGUGCCCAGAUGGGAUUAGCUAGUAGGUGGGGUAACGGCUCACCUAGGCGACGAUCCCUAGCUGGUCUGAGAGGAUGACCAGCCACACUGGAACUGAGACACGGUCCAGACUCCUACGGGAGGCAGCAGUGGGGAAUAUUGCACAAUGGGCGCAAGCCUGAUGCAGCCAUGCCGCGUGUAUGAAGAAGGCCUUCGGGUUGUAAAGUACUUUCAGCGGGGAGGAAGGGAGUAAAGUUAAUACCUUUGCUCAUUGACGUUACCCGCAGAAGAAGCACCGGCUAACUCCGUGCCAGCAGCCGCGGUAAUACGGAGGGUGCAAGCGUUAAUCGGAAUUACUGGGCGUAAAGCGCACGCAGGCGGUUUGUUAAGUCAGAUGUGAAAUCCCCGGGCUCAACCUGGGAACUGCAUCUGAUACUGGCAAGCUUGAGUCUCGUAGAGGGGGGUAGAAUUCCAGGUGUAGCGGUGAAAUGCGUAGAGAUCUGGAGAAUACCGGUGGCGAAGGCGGCCCCCUGGACGAAGACUGACGCUCAUGUGCGAAAGCGUGCGGAGCAGACACGAUUAUAUACCCUGGUAGUCCACGCCAUAUACGAUGUCUACUUGGAGGUUGUGCCCUUUAGGCGUGGCUUCCGAGCUAACGCGUUAAGUCUACCGCAUGGGGAGUAAGGCCGAACGUUAAAACUCAAAUGAAUUGAGGGGGCCCGCACGAGCGGGGUAUCAUGUAAUUUCGAUGAACUUUUUACAUGUCUGACAAGUUUUGA
RNAcentral lists this ribosomal RNA (938 nucleotides) under Escherichia coli. RNAcentral describes it as "bacterial SSU rRNA". It matches the Rfam family "Bacterial small subunit ribosomal RNA", at positions 47 to 994 of the family's 1533-position model. The record is from RNAcentral. Lineage: Bacteria; Pseudomonadati; Pseudomonadota; Gammaproteobacteria; Enterobacterales; Enterobacteriaceae.